This 386-nucleotide transfer-messenger RNA is filed under the name Patescibacteria group. RNAcentral describes it as "GWC2-39-14 sp000996245 Standard tmRNA". It matches the Rfam family "transfer-messenger RNA". Rfam says of the family: Bacterial tmRNA, also known as 10Sa RNA or SsrA, is named for its dual tRNA and mRNA-like properties. Its role is to liberate the mRNA from a stalled ribosome. The record is from RNAcentral.
GGGGAUGCUGGUCUUCGACAAGUUACCGCCUUCUUAGGCGCAGGCUGAGGUGGUGAAACUCAAUAAACGCACCGCUUACACAAGUGCAAAUCAACUUGUUAGCAAGGCAAAAUCAUUGUUUACAAUGCCAAGCUUUGCGCUCGUAACAGCUUAAUUUAAGCAGUUACCAUCGGUCCGUUUUUGCUCGCGGGACGGGCACCGGUGUCAUACAGCGAACUCGGUUCUAGACUUUGUCUUUUUAUAGAACCUAAAUACAAAAGACUCGAAUUUUCAUCUUUCUGUUUACUCUUACAGUUGAAAAUUUUAAACAAUUAGAGUAAACUAUGCCUGUAGAUGCCUAUUAACAAGUUUCUUGGACGCGGGUUCAACUCCCGCCAUCUCCACCA